GAUGGGGGCAGUGGUGAUGUCAAAAUAAGUGCCUGAUCAUGACUUUCUUCAUGUUUUCUGCACUAAGUCUCCAAUUCUUUCAUUUCAUUGAGUUAAUCCUAUCUAUUUUUCAAUAGAUAGGAGCUUAUUUUCCACCUCCUCUAAGAAGUCUUUUCCGUUGUCUAGAUCCACAUUUUCUUUGAGGUUCUACUGCGCACUUCAAGUUCGUAAGACAGACUUUACACUCCACUCUUCUCUAGUUGUUUCACAUAUUAUGUACAUAACCAUGAUCAAAACCAGUCGCCAUUCUUG
Molecule: long non-coding RNA, 291 nt
Filed under: Bos taurus (domestic cattle)
Lineage: Eukaryota; Metazoa; Chordata; Mammalia; Artiodactyla; Bovidae
Description: long non-coding RNA NONBTAT004256
Source: RNAcentral